UACAGAGGGGGCAAGCGUUGUUCGGAAUUACUGGGCGUAAAGGGCGCGUAGGCGGCCUUCUAAGUCGAACGUGAAAUCCCCGGGCUCAACCCGGGAACUGCGUCCGAUACUGGAAGGCUUGAAUCCGGGAGAGGGAUGUGGAAUUCCAGGUGUAGCGGUGAAAUGCGUAGAUAUCUGGAGGAACACCGGUGGCGAAGGCGGCAUCCUGGACCAACACUGACACUGAGGAGCGAAAGCCAGGGGAGCAAACGGG
Molecule: ribosomal RNA, 253 nt
Filed under: uncultured bacterium
Lineage: Bacteria
Description: partial 16S ribosomal RNA
Rfam family: Bacterial small subunit ribosomal RNA
Source: RNAcentral